ACGAACGCUGGCGGCGUGCUUAACACAUGCAAGUCGAGCGGAAAGGCCCCUUCGGGGGUACUCGAGCGGCGAACGGGUGAGUAACACGUGAGCAACCUGCCCCUGACUCUGGGAUAAGCCCGGGAAACUGGGUCUAAUACCGGAUAUGACCACUCCGGGCAUCUGGUGGUGGUGGAAAGUUUUUCGGUUGGGGAUGGGCUCGCGGCCUAUCAGCUUGUUGGUGGGGUGAUGGCCUACCAAGGCGACGACGGGUAACCGGCCUGAGAGGGCGACCGGUCACACUGGGACUGAGACACGGCCCAGACUCCUACGGGAGGCAGCAGUGGGGAAUAUUGCGCAAUGGGCGGAAGCCUGACGCAGCGACGCCGCGUGGGGGAUGACGGCCUUCGGGUUGUAAACCUCUUUCAGCAGGGACGAAGCUAACGUGACGGUACCUGCAGAAGAAGCGCCGGCUAACUACGUGCCAGCAGCCGCGGUAAUACGUAGGGCGCAAGCGUUGUCCGGAAUUAUUGGGCGUAAAGAGCUCGUAGGCGGUUUGUUGCGUCCGUCGUGAAAGCCCACGGCUUAACCGUGGGUCUGCGGUGGAUACGGGCAGACUAGAGGCAGGUAGGGGAGAACGGAAUUCCCGGUGUAGCGGUGAAAUGCGCAGAUAUCGGGAGGAACACCGGUGGCGAAGGCGGUUCUCUGGGCCUGUACUGACGCUGAGGAGCGAAAGCGUGGGGAGCGAACAGGAUUAGAUACCCUGGUAGUCCACGCCGUAAACGUUGGGCGCUAGGUGUGGGGUCCUUCCACGGAUUCCG
This 800-nucleotide ribosomal RNA is filed under the name uncultured Thermomonospora sp. Its description in RNAcentral is "bacterial SSU rRNA". It matches the Rfam family "Bacterial small subunit ribosomal RNA", at positions 29 to 843 of the family's 1533-position model. The record is from RNAcentral. Lineage: Bacteria; Bacillati; Actinomycetota; Actinomycetes; Streptosporangiales; Thermomonosporaceae.